This 484-nucleotide ribosomal RNA is filed under the name uncultured bacterium. Its description in RNAcentral is "partial 16S ribosomal RNA". It matches the Rfam family "Bacterial small subunit ribosomal RNA", at positions 30 to 507 of the family's 1533-position model. The record is from RNAcentral.
AUUGAACGCUGGCGGCAGGCCUAACACAUGCAAGUCGAGCGGAUGAAGGGAGCUUGCUCCUGGAUUCAGCGGCGGACGGGUGAGUAAUGCCUAGGAAUCUGCCUGGUAGUGGGGGAUAACGUCCGGAAACGGGCGCUAAUACCGCAUACGUCCUGAGGGAGAAAGUGGGGGAUCUUCGGACCUCACGCUAUCAGAUGAGCCUAGGUCGGAUUAGCUAGUUGGUGGGGUAAAGGCCUACCAAGGCGACGAUCCGUAACUGGUCUGAGAGGAUGAUCAGUCACACUGGAACUGAGACACGGUCCAGACUCCUACGGGAGGCAGCAGUGGGGAAUAUUGGACAAUGGGCGAAAGCCUGAUCCAGCCAUGCCGCGUCUGUGAAGAAGGUCUUCGGAUUGUAAAGCACUUUAAGUUGGGAGGAAGGGCAGUAAGUUAAUACCUUGCUGUUUUGACGUUACCAACAGAAUAAGCACCGGCUAACUUCGUG